AUUGAACGCUGGCGGAAUGCUUUACACAUGCAAGUCGGGCGGCAGCGCGGGGGGCAACCCUGGCGGCGAGCGGCGAACGGGUGAGUAAUACAUCGGAACGUGUCCUUCAAGUGGGGGAUAGCUCGGCGAAAGCCGGAUUAAUACCGCAUAAGCUCUGAGGAGGAAAGCGGGGGACUGGUAACGGCCUCGCGCUGUUGGAGCGGCCGAUGUCGGAUUAGCUAGUUGGUGGGGUAAAGGCCCACCAAGGCGACGAUCCGUAGCUGGUCUGAGAGGAUGAUCAGCCACACUGGAACUGAGACACGGUCCAGACUCCUACGGGAGGCAGCAGUGGGGAAUUUUGGACAAUGGGGGCAACCCUGAUCCAGCCAUUCCGCGUGAGUGAAGAA
Molecule: ribosomal RNA, 386 nt
Filed under: uncultured bacterium
Lineage: Bacteria
Description: bacterial SSU rRNA
Rfam family: Bacterial small subunit ribosomal RNA
Source: RNAcentral